This 253-nucleotide ribosomal RNA is filed under the name uncultured bacterium. Its description in RNAcentral is "partial 16S ribosomal RNA". It matches the Rfam family "Bacterial small subunit ribosomal RNA", at positions 524 to 776 of the family's 1533-position model. The record is from RNAcentral.
UACGAAGGGUGCAAGCGUUGUUCGGAAUCAUUGGGCGUAAAGCGCGCGCAGGCGGAUUAAUAAGUCAGGUGUGAAAUCUCGGAGCUCAACUCCGAAACUGCGCCUGAAACUAUUAGUCUAGAAUGUCGGAGGGGGCAGGGGAAUUUCACGUGUAGGGGUAAAAUCCGUAGAGAUGUGAAGGAACACCGGUGGCGAAGGCGCCUGCCUGGACGAUUAUUGACGCUGAGGCGCGAAAGCGUGGGGAGCAAACAGG